RNAcentral lists this ribosomal RNA (468 nucleotides) under uncultured bacterium. Its description in RNAcentral is "partial 16S ribosomal RNA". It matches the Rfam family "Bacterial small subunit ribosomal RNA", at positions 28 to 507 of the family's 1533-position model. The record is from RNAcentral.
GACGAACGCUGGCGGCGUGCUUAACACAUGCAAGUCGAACGGAAAGGCCCUGCUUUUGUGGGGUGCUCGAGUGGCGAACGGGUGAGUAACACGUGAGUAACCUGCCCUUGACUUUGGGAUAACUUCAGGAAACUGGGGCUAAUAUCGGAUAGGAGCUCCUGCUGCAUGGUGGGGGUUGGAAAGUUUCGGCGGUUGGGGAUGGAAUCGCGGCUUAUCAGCUUGUUGGUGGGGUAGUGGCUUACCAAGGCUUUGACGGGUAGCCGGCCUGAGAGGGUGACCGGCCACAUUGGGACUGAGGUACGGCCCAGACUCCUACGGGAGGCAGCAGUGGGGAAUAUUGCACAGUGGGCGGAAGCCAGAUGCAGCGGCGCCGCGUGCGGGAUGACGGCCUUCGGGUUGUAAACCGAUUUCGCCUGUGACGAAGCGUGAGUGACGGUAAUGGGUAAAGAAGCACCGGCUAACUACGUG